This is a non-coding RNA of Mauremys reevesii (Reeves's turtle), 1032 nucleotides long. NCBI's taxonomy places the organism in Eukaryota, Metazoa, Chordata, Testudines, Geoemydidae. The record is from the annotation of a RefSeq genome assembly.
GAGCUAUAAAAACAGACCAAUGAGAUGACCCGAUUCUGUUCCUGCCCUGAGAAUUCUCCUGCCAGCCAGCCAACAACCCCCUCCCGCAAACUCUGCCCCUCAGCCGCUCCUACGACAGCACCAUCCAGAAGCAUUUACAGAGCAGACUCACUCCUGUGAAGUUAGAUCCCUGUUAAUCAGCUAAAGCGCAGCAACAGCACAGAGAUACCAGGUACAUUUCUAACGGCACCUUCUAGAGUCUAAAAUUCUCGCCUUCUCUAAAUUGAAGUAACAAGACCCGAAUAUAUAAAUUGAUAUUGGUUUCGGGAUUAGCUCUGUUUCGUCGAAGAAUCUUUCAGUCCAAACAUGACUCUACCUUGGAUCGCAGCUGUGAUAAUCGUGUCAAUUCUAAAAGGCAUCUAUGGAGCAGACUCAGUGACCCAAACUGAAGGCACCUUUAUCAUCCCCCAAGGGGACUCAGUGCGUCUGAACUGCACCUAUCAAUUUUCUCUCGCUGCUAAUGUUUAUCCCUUCUGGUACGUGCAGUUCCCCAGCCAGCCCCCCAGGCUCUUCCUGCGGGACCUGGGACGCGAGGACUCGGAUGAAGGGAUCAGAAAAGGGUUCAAUGCCACCCACGAUAAAAAGCACAAUUCCUUCCACCUGUGGAAACCGUCCAGCGAACUGAGCGACUCCGGGACCUAUUACUGCGCCGCGAGAGACACAGUGACACGGACCGGCAGGGGAACUGCGCAAAAACCGUGCAGGGGCUGUGCGGAGCAGCGGGGAGGUGGGCACUGGUUCCCCAGCCAGCCCCCCAGGCUCUUCCUGAGGGACCCGGGACAGGAGGACUCGGAUGAAGGGAUCAGAAAAGGGUUUGAUGCCACCCACGCUAAAAAGGACAAAUCCUUCCAGCUGUGGAAACCAUCCGGCGAAGUGAGUGACUCCGGGAUCUAUUACUGCGCCGGGAGAGACUUGACACGCACCGGUAGGGGAGCUGAGCAAAAACUGCCCAAGGGCUGUGUGGAGCAGCAGGGAUGCGGGCACCGGGGUUGA